Non-coding RNA from Notechis scutatus (mainland tiger snake), 2147 nucleotides. Lineage: Eukaryota; Metazoa; Chordata; Lepidosauria; Squamata; Elapidae. The record is from RefSeq and is a predicted model, not a curated record.
GGUUUCCUCCUUUGGGUGGGAGAGCCAAUUUCCAUUUGUUUGUUAUUUUGACAGUAGACAAACAAUAUACCAAUGUUUUUCUUUGACCAGGUAGAGUAUCCCAUAUCCCAGCUUAUUUCCAAGGUGUGUUUCAAAGUUCUUGCCCUGUCAAUGUCCUGGGAUAUGAUUAUUUGUAAUGUGCUCUGAUAUAAAUCAGUAUGGUUGGAUGGAGAUUGCUUUCAGUCCCAUUAGCAAGCUCACAAACAAUUUCAACAUUUUUUUUCUCUAUCUCUUUCAGUCCUAGCGAGCAUGACCUAGGUAACUUGCUGAGUUGUCCUAGCUAGCAGUUACAUGGCGUCCUGGGAGCCAGCCUAACUAUUAGCCUACUGGAAGAGAUCCAGCAUGUUCCAGGACUGAGGAUUGUUGACGACAGCUGCACUACUCUGAACAGGACUGGAAAUCUAAAUCAGAUGGAGAACGACAUUCCUGGAUUGGUGCCAUGAUCAGAAUUAAAAGUGUUGUGUGGCCAUAGGCACAGUGAGCCAAGCCACUGCAAAGUUGGAAAGGAACACAAAUGGGAUUGCCACCUGCCUGCCUGAAUUUUGUUUGCUGUUAGCAGCAGUUUUCUUGCUUUCUUUUUAGAAGUUUAGAGCAAUUAAAGCUUUUGGCAAUUAGAUGAAUGAUUUACUUUAACAAUAUAUGCACAGUAAAUGACUUCAGACUAUGUGCUGACAAAUGCAUUAAUUGAGGACAGGGGAAAAAUACUGUAUAAAAACACAAAUGAGUAUUUUGAAUACUUACAUUUCUGUGCCUAGUGGAAAACUUUCAGAAGAGAAUUUGGUGAAAACAGAAAAGAAACAUUGCACAUCUCUCCUCAAAUGUGAGGUGGAAAUCUUACAACUGCUUGUUGGCUUGUUGUAUUAUAGGUCACAGCAUCCUGUGGGCUUCCCUGAAAAAGCCUAUUAGAUUUUAUACUACUUGAUAUUGCCCUGUGGAUAGUGUUGAAUGAGAUUCAUGUAUGAUAACAUAAUUGCCACAACUUACCUACUUGCUUCUAAUGUAGAGGAGUAAAUUCAUAAUGGUGGAUUUUGUGUGAUCAUGUCACCAUGUGUGUAGUCAUUUCCAAGGUCCCUUUCAAUUCUGUUAAUGUUACUGUUACGUAGGAAUUCAGUCCAAAGAGAACAUGGUCCUCAACAGCUGCUUAAAAAUGUGUCAUGCCCCCUCAGAGCCUGAAUCUGCAGAAGAAGAUGAGCCAGAACUGGAGCAGAUGGAGAUCAAAGGGGCAGCUUUGUGGGUGUCAGAGGAAUAUGGGGAGGAGCAGGCCAAGUCAGGCUAGGGCCUUUCAGGAUUGGGACACCUUGUAGGCAGGGAAGAAUGGGGGUAGGAUGACCAAGAGAGGCUAAGCAGUGAACAUGAGAGACAGAGUUCAGGCAAUGAGCAAGGACCACCCCCUCCUGAUCCUCAAGCAUGGAGAGUGGAGAGAAAGUGGGAACAGUGCAGGCUUACCCAACUACUCUGGAGGAGAGUGCCUACCCCACUCCAUGUGGGGAUUGAGAUUUAAGGAGACGCUGUGGGGAGGGGCAUUUGUCAGAAACAAACACUGAGUAUUGUGUGCCAUUGCCAAUGUUGGAUGUUUCCUGGACUUCUUGUUUUAUUUCUUGCUUCCUGGAUUAAUUGCUUUGUUCCUUUGCUUCCUGGACUAACUGACUUAUUCCCUUGCUUUGCUGGGUUUCUUGUUUUGCAGCCAUUGUGCUCAAAGCAUUGUGCUGGACUUGCAGCCAAAGGCUGCUGGAGAGGUGUGUGUGUGUUAUCACUUUGCUCUGGGACUUGUCACAAUUGUGGGAGCAUUUGGGGAACAUUUUGAACAAUAAAGGGGCAGUUUGAACUGUCAGCUCUCGCCUCUGUGCCAUGUCCCAGGUCAUCAUCAUAAUUAUAAACUGUCUCCAUUUUAUCUCAUCCAAAAUGAAUGAAGGAAGCUAUGAGUGUUUGAGACUUUUUCACUUGGUUCCUUUCAAGAAGCUUUAAGAAUUUGAGGGAUAAUUCUUGAUUAAGGAAAGUGUCAGGUCCACCAUCCUGUCCUGCCAUUCUGUUGGAAGGAGGGGGGAGGAGGUUCGCUGGCAUUUUCACAUGCUUUGAUUGUAACUGAGAAUUAGGGAGGGAGACUGUCU